Molecule: long non-coding RNA, 1002 nt
Organism: Ictalurus punctatus (channel catfish)
Lineage: Eukaryota; Metazoa; Chordata; Actinopteri; Siluriformes; Ictaluridae
Source: Ensembl
CUUCUCUUCACUGUAUAUGCAGUGUAUAUAUGGAUGAAGCGAGAGAUAAAUGUGUUGUGGUCUUUUUGCUGUGAUGCCUGUGAAUUUUUUUGUGGAUCAUAAUUUUAAAAGACAAAGGCGCUACGACACCGAGCUGUUUGCUGUGGGGUUUGGUGGCUUUGUGGUGGUGUUGUGCUCCCUGGAGUGGGAGGCUGUUGGUUCAAACCCAGCUUGGGUGCAGUGUGCUGGAUGGUGAAAUGUAGAAUGGGGAGUUAAUGUGUCUCACUUUUUUGACCUGGAAGUGUGAUGCUUAGUUCAUGGUUACAUAAAUGAAGGUGAAAAGGUCUAUAAAACAGGCUUCUUGUACAAGAUCCUGUAGCUCAUGUGGAUGAGCAUCGCCCUCCGGGUUGAGUGGUUGCUGGUUCAAACGCCAGCCAGGAUGAAAGGAUAAGAGCGUGGAAGGUUCAGGAUUGAUGCGGAAGGUCCAGGAUGAGUGGCGUGGAAGGUGCAGGAUGGCUGGAGGGCGUGACCAAGGGGGGUAAUAUCCGGGCAUCUGCCCCCCGAGGACCAGCAGUGGACAGUAAGAGGGUUAUGGAACCUGAAGUGAGGGGUUGGACUUAGUUUUGCAUUAUAUAAAAAUUUUCUGUAAAAACCCUAUGUCCAACCUUUCUCUUCAAGUUUCAUAACCGCUUUCUGCUCCUGCUCUGUGGGGAGCUGCCCUGCUACUCACCCACAACCAGCUCACACCAUCCAUCCAUCCCCACAUCCCCCAGCCUUCCACUGCUUCCUGAACCAUCUACACCCAUAUCCUUGAAUCCUGGCUGGGGUUUGAACCAGCAAUCUCUCAACCCAGAGGGCGAUGCUCAUCCACAUGAGCUACAGGAUCUCGUACAAGAAGCCUGUUUUAUAGACCUUUUCACCUUCAUAUACGUAACCCUGCCCUAAAGGGGAAACAGCACAGACGUGAACCAAACAUAAACACAGGGCCGAGUAGGAUUCAAACCAGCAACCCCUGAGCACAGG